CAUUUCAUAUUUGCAAAAGGAGUAUGAGCAAGUCUUAAGUGCCAAAUGUAAUUCAUGUUAGACGUAAGAUCAGUAUUACAGAUGGAACUAUAUACAUGUGAAGGCAAUGGAACAGCCUUGUUAUCAGACAAAAUAUCAUCAUGACAAGAAACAUAUACAGAAGGCAAUGCAACAACCUUGCUAUCAGACAAAGUGUCAUCACUACAAGAUGCAGAUACAGAGCAAAUAGAAGUAGAGGAACAACUAACAGAGGAAGAAGGGGAAGGAGGAACCCAAGCAAGUUUAUAUAAGCCAGCAGCUUCUCUACCAAGAUCCAGAGGCCUCCUCAGAGAAGGGUCCUGUAUCAUGUGUAGUAAGCAUGAAUGUU
This 367-nucleotide long non-coding RNA is filed under the name Nicotiana benthamiana. RNAcentral's name for it is "long non-coding RNA (NBEN_LNC025838)". Lineage: Eukaryota; Viridiplantae; Streptophyta; Magnoliopsida; Solanales; Solanaceae. The record is from RNAcentral.